Non-coding RNA from Camelina sativa (false flax), 365 nucleotides. The record is from RefSeq and is a predicted model, not a curated record. NCBI's taxonomy places the organism in Eukaryota, Viridiplantae, Streptophyta, Magnoliopsida, Brassicales, Brassicaceae.
GAUCAACAUUGUCACUUUUUUCUGCUAGAUACACGAUGUUUCGAAGAAGUGGACACUACAUGUGACUGGCAGAAACACAAGCGAAAGAUUUGAUGAGAUGGGACUAAGGCAAAUACGAGAGAACUGUGUGCAACCGAAUGGGGACACUCUAAGAUCGUUUACAUUUUGCAGAAUGAAUGAGAAGAUCUUUAGGGUCGAGAACUGGAACAACUUUGUCCCUUUCAUUAGACAGAUGAGUGCAGAUAUGUAAAAACAGUCACGAGUGUUGUGUUUGUCUUUUGUUACAGAAUUGAUCUUUCCUCACCAUAUUGCUUUUUCAGAUAUGUGAUGAGGAGAACUAAUCAAAAUCAAGAAUUGUUAUAUGA